Non-coding RNA from Gossypium hirsutum (cotton), 122 nucleotides. NCBI's taxonomy places the organism in Eukaryota, Viridiplantae, Streptophyta, Magnoliopsida, Malvales, Malvaceae. The record is from Rfam.
CAUCAUUUUAUGCCACAUCAGCAUUUUCGUCCUGAAUUUCAGUAUUUUCAUUCAGAAAAAAAUUAAAUCCAAAUUAAAAUCUUGAAAUUUAGAUAAAAUUACUGAUGUGGCAUAAAAUUAUU